Molecule: ribosomal RNA, 463 nt
Filed under: uncultured bacterium
Lineage: Bacteria
Description: partial 16S ribosomal RNA
Rfam family: Bacterial small subunit ribosomal RNA
Source: RNAcentral
ACGCUGGCGGCGUGCUUAACACAUGCAAGUCGAACGGAAAGGCCCUGCUUUUGUGGGGUGCUCGAGUGGCGAACGGGUGAGUAACACGUGAGUAACCUGCCCUUGACUUUGGGAUAACUUCAGGAAACUGGGGCUAAUACCGGAUAGGAGCUCCUGCUGCAUGGUGGGGGUUGGAAAGUUUCGGCGGUUGGGGAUGGACUCGCGGCUUAUCAGCUUGUUGGUGGGGUAGUGGCUUACCAAGGCUUUGACGGGUAGCCGGCCUGGGAGGGUGACCGGCCACAUUGGGACUGAGAUACGGCCCAGACUCCUACGGGAGGCAGCAGUGGGGAAUAUUGCACAAUGGGCGGAAGCCUGAUGCAGCAACGCCGCGUGCGGGAUGACGGCCUUCGGGUUGUAAACCGCUUUCGCCUGUGACGAAGCGUGAGUGACGGUAAUGGGUAAAGAAGCACCGGCUAACUACGUG